AACGAACGCUGGCGGCAUGCCUAACAUAUGCAAGUCGAACGAGACCUUCGGGUCUAGUGGCGCACGGGUGCGUAACGCGUGGGAACCUGCCCUUAGGUUCGGAAUAACUCUCCGAAAGGGGUGCUAAUACCGGAUAAUGUCUACGGACCAAAGAUUUAUCGCCUUUGGAUGGGCCCGCGUUGGAUUAGCUUGUUGGUAGGGUAAAAGCCUACCACGGCGACGAUCCAUAGCUGGUCUGAGAGGAUGAUCAGCCACACUGGGGCUGAGACACGGCCCAGACUCCUACGGGAGGCAGCAGUGGGGAAUAUAGGACAAUGGGCGAAAGGCUGAUCCAGCAAUGCCGCGUGAGUGAUGAAGGCAUUAGGGUUGUAAAGCUCUUUUACCCGGGAUGAUAAUGACAGUACCGGGAGAAUAAGCUCCGGCUAACUCCGUG
RNAcentral lists this ribosomal RNA (433 nucleotides) under uncultured bacterium. Its description in RNAcentral is "partial 16S ribosomal RNA". It matches the Rfam family "Bacterial small subunit ribosomal RNA", at positions 29 to 507 of the family's 1533-position model. The record is from RNAcentral.